UCCAUUCCGCGUGAGUGAAGAAGGCCUUCGGGUUGUAAAGCUCUUUCGCAAGGGAAGAAAACUUAUGAUCGAAUAAAUCAUGAGGUUGACGGUACCUUGAUAAGAAGCACCGGCUAACUACGUGCCAGCAGCCGCGGUAAUACGUAGGGUGCGAGCGUUAAUCGGAAUUACUGGGCGUAAAGCGUGCGCAGGCGGUUUUGUAAGUCGGAUGUGAAAUCCCCGGGCUCAACCUGGGAACUGCGUUCGAAACUGCAAGGCUAGAGUGUGUCAGAGGGGGGUAGAAUUCCACGUGUAGCAGUGAAAUGCGUAGAGAUGUGGAGGAAUACCAAUGGCGAAGGCAGCCCCCUGGGAUAACACUGACGCUCAUGCACGAAAGCGUGGGGAGCAAACAGGAUUAGAUACCCUGGUAGUCCAAGCCCUAAACGAUGUCAACUAGUUGUUGGUAGAGUAAAAUCUAUGAGUAACGUAGCUAACGCGUGAAGUUGAACGCCUGGGGAGUAACGGUCGCAAGAUUAAAACUCCAAGGAAUUGACGG
This 535-nucleotide ribosomal RNA is filed under the name uncultured bacterium. RNAcentral describes it as "bacterial SSU rRNA". It matches the Rfam family "Bacterial small subunit ribosomal RNA", at positions 391 to 916 of the family's 1533-position model. The record is from RNAcentral.